AUUGAACGCUGGCGGCAGGCCUAACACAUGCAAGUCGAACGAGUGGCGGACGGGUGAGUAAUGUCUGGGAAACUGCCUGAUGGAGGGGGAUAACUACUGGAAACGGUAGCUAAUACCGCAUACAAACAGAUAUGCCCAGAUGUGAUUAGCGAGUUGGUGGGGUAACGUCGCACCAAGGCGACGAUCCCUAGCUGGUCUGAGAGGAUGACCCGCCACAGUGGAACUGAGACACGGUCCAGACUCCUACGGGGGGCAGCAGUGGUUAAUAUUGCACAAUGCGCGCAAGCCUGAUGCAGCCAUGCCGCGUGUAUGAAGAAGCACUUCAGGUUGUAAAGUACUUUCAGCGGGGAGGCGUUACCCGCAGAAGAAGCACCGGCUAACUCCGUGCCAGCAGCCGCGGUAAUAC
This 406-nucleotide ribosomal RNA is filed under the name uncultured bacterium. RNAcentral's name for it is "partial 16S ribosomal RNA". It matches the Rfam family "Bacterial small subunit ribosomal RNA", at positions 30 to 526 of the family's 1533-position model. The record is from RNAcentral.